RNAcentral lists this long non-coding RNA (1231 nucleotides) under Homo sapiens (human). RNAcentral describes it as "HSALNT0194812". Lineage: Eukaryota; Metazoa; Chordata; Mammalia; Primates; Hominidae. The record is from RNAcentral.
UCCGGAUUUAAUUUGAUAUCACAGUCUAAUUUUUAUUCAUAAGCCAAUUUUUCUGCACUGAGCAGAGUCUUGCUACCUCAGUCAGUAUUGUUUUGGUUUGCUACUUCCCUCACCCACUUUGGCCUCCGUUCACCCCACCCCACCCCACCUCUCCCCACCUUACCCCCGCCCCGCUUGGCUUCUUCUUUAGGAUUGUGAUGGUUCGUUCUGUUUACAUCAGUUUUAACGAGAGGUAUGCCUGUACUCGCUUGUGCAGAAAACAUUGUUCCAGAUUCAAUCGACUGGGUUUAUGUCCCUUCACAUAGUUUUUAAGGUUAUUUAUUUAAAUGUCUAAUGUAUUUUAUUGUAACAGACAUUGUUUUGCCAACAUUGCCUAUUUCAGUGGCACGUCAUCUAGUUUUAAAAAAAUAAAACAUUUUAAAUGGACAGAGAAAAAUAACUGUCUUGUCUUUAACUCGUAAGUGGCUUACCUGGGACUAACAGACAUGUCCAACUUUCUCUCCAGUUCUUAGCUCAGAACUUUAGUUGUACUCUGCUUGAGGGGAAGAAGGCUCCUGCUCUGCUGUGUAGGUAGUCAUAGGAAUUGUAUUCUUAAUGUACAGGCACUAAUUGUCAUCUGUGAUGUACAUUUUAUGCAAGUUUCUGCUGGCCUGGUAUAGAGAACAUAAGGGCAAGUGUGUAUGUGUGUGUAUGUGUGUGUUUUGUAAAAUCUGUAAAUAGCACAUGACCAAAUGAACAUAUUGUAUAGAACUAUUUUUAUUUGAAUGUGGCACUAACCACCACCACCGUUACUACGAUCAAUGUUUGCGCAUGUUCGAGAUGAGUCUCACCAACAGUGUGUAAGUCAUUAACAGUCCUAACUGUGGUGUUUUCCUCCAAUGCCUUCCAACAUCCAUCAACUAACCAAUACUGGAGUAACCGCUUCCUAAACCAUUUUGCAGAAAUGUAAGGGUGUUCGGUUGCGUGCAUGUGCGUUUUUAGCAACACAUCUACCAACCCUGUGCAUGACUGAUGUUGGGGAAAAAGAAAAGUAAAAAACUUCCCAACUCACUUUGUGUUAUGUGGAGGAAAUGUGUAUUACCAAUGGGGUUGUUAGCUUUUAAAUCAAAAUACUGAUUACAGAUGUACAAUUUAGCUUAAUCAGAAAGCCUCUCCAGAGAAGUUUGGUUUCUUUGCUGCAAGAGGAAUGAGGCUCUGUAACCUUAUCUAAGAACUUGGAAGCCGUCAGCCA